AUUCCAGCUCCAAUAGCGUAUACUAAAGUUGUUGCAGUUAAAAAGCUCGUAGUUGAAUUUCUGGUCGUGGCGACCGGUCCGCCCCUCACGGGGUGUGCACCUGGUGUCUGCGUCCAUCCUCGGGGAGAGCGCGUCUGGCAUUCAGUUGUCGGGCGCGGGAUCCUCGUCAUUUACUGUGAGCAAAAUAGAGUGUUCAAAGCAGGCUUAGGCCGUUGAAUACAUUAGCAUGGAAUAAUAAGAUAGGACCUUGGUCUAUUUUGUUGGUUUGCAUUCCAAGGUAAUGAUUAAUAGGGAUAGUUGGGGGUAUUCGUAUUCAAUUGUCAGAGGUGAAAUUCUUGGAUUUAUGGAAGACGAACUACUGCGAAAGCAUUUACCAAGGAUGUUUUCAUUA
RNAcentral lists this ribosomal RNA (391 nucleotides) under Chrysophyceae sp. Its description in RNAcentral is "partial small subunit ribosomal RNA". It matches the Rfam family "Eukaryotic small subunit ribosomal RNA", at positions 582 to 975 of the family's 1831-position model. Lineage: Eukaryota; Chrysophyceae. The record is from RNAcentral.